CAUGUAGGCGGGAAUCUAAGUCUGUUGUGAAAAUGCGGGGCUCAACCCCGUAUUGCGAUGGAAACUGGGUUUCUUGAGUGCAGGAGAGGAAAGGGGAAUUCCCAGUGUAGCGGUGAAAUGCGUAGAUAUUGGGAGGAACACCAGUGGCGAAGGCGCCUUUCUGGACUGUGUCUGACGCUGAGAUGCGAAAGCCAGGGUAGCGAACG
This 206-nucleotide ribosomal RNA is filed under the name uncultured bacterium. RNAcentral's name for it is "partial 16S ribosomal RNA". It matches the Rfam family "Bacterial small subunit ribosomal RNA", at positions 568 to 774 of the family's 1533-position model. The record is from RNAcentral.